RNAcentral lists this ribosomal RNA (676 nucleotides) under uncultured Synechococcus sp. RNAcentral describes it as "bacterial SSU rRNA". It matches the Rfam family "Bacterial small subunit ribosomal RNA", at positions 29 to 755 of the family's 1533-position model. The record is from RNAcentral. Lineage: Bacteria; Bacillati; Cyanobacteriota; Cyanophyceae; Synechococcales; Synechococcaceae.
GAAAACGCGGUGCCGGCGUCCUUUACACAUUCAAGUCCGAACGAACCUUCGGGUUAGUGGCGGACGGGUGAGUACGCGUAUCUGCCUCAGGAUGGGGACAACAGUUGGAAAACGACUGCUAAUACCCCAUAUGCCCGCGAGGUGAAAUGAAUUUCGCCUGAGAUGAGCUCGCGUCUGAUUAGCUAGUUUGUGUAGGUAUUGGCUCACCAAGGCAUCGAUCAGUACUGGUCUGAGAGGAUGAUCAGCACACUGGGGCUGAACACGGGCCCAAACUCCCUACGGAGGCACAGUGGGGAAUUUUCCGCAUGGGCGAAAGCCUGACGGAGCAACGCCGCAUGAUGGAUGAAGGCCUCUGGGCUGUAAACCUCUUUAUCAAGGAAGAAGAUCUGACGGUACUUGAUGAAUAAGCCACGGCUAAUUCCGUGCCAGCAGCCGCGGUAAUACGGGAGGUGGCAAGCGUUAUCCGGAAUUAUUGGGCGUAAAGCGUCCGCAAGGCGGCCUUCAAGUCUGCUGUUAAAAAAGUGGAGCUUAACUCCAUCAUUGGGCAGUGGAAACUGUUGGGCUUGAGUGUGGUAGGGCAGAGGGAAUUCCCGGUGUACGGUGAAAUGCGUAGAUAUCGGGAAGGAACACCAGUUGGCGAAGCGCUCUGCUGGGCCAUCACUGACGCUCAUGGACA